RNAcentral lists this ribosomal RNA (252 nucleotides) under uncultured bacterium. RNAcentral describes it as "partial 16S ribosomal RNA". It matches the Rfam family "Bacterial small subunit ribosomal RNA", at positions 524 to 776 of the family's 1533-position model. The record is from RNAcentral.
UACGAAGGAUGCAAGCGUUAUCCGGAUUAUUGGGUUUAAAGGGUGCGUAGGCGGACUUAUAAGUCAGUGGAUGAAAUCUCGAUGCUUAACAUCGAACGUGCCAUUGAUACUGUAGGUCUUGAGUACAGAUGCGUUGGCGGAAUGUGUCAUGUAGCGGUGAAAUGCAUAGAUAUGACACAGAACACCGAUUGACGAAGGCAGCUGACGAAACUGUAACUGACGCUGAGGCAGAAAGCGUGGGGAGCAAACAGG